UGUUUACGUACUAUCUGUGUUAAUACUAUGUAGUGUGUACUGUGUACUAAUUAAAUUGACAAAAAGAAAUUGUUGAAUUAACUUAAAUUAUGUAUUCGAUUUUUAAUGUUAAAAACAAAAUAAAACUAAAUACAUCAAUACGAAAAAAUAAUUUAGACGAAACUGUCGAAACUCAUAGCGAUGAAUCAAAAACAAACAAAAUGUAACAUGAACAACAUGAUGAACAUAAUGACGAUGAUGUAAACGUUCGACAAAAAAAUAUGUUUUAAAUUUGAACAAACAGUCAAACAGUUGAUUUGAGUGAUAUUAAUUUGGGCCCAAAGCAACCUAAACUUCAAGUACUUGCUCUAAGAGGUCAUGAUGAAAAGUAAUCAACAGUUUCCAAUACAGGAAUCAAAUACCUUAUUCUUAAUGCUCUAGAAACAGUCUAUAUGCAUUUUUCUCGACCCAAUAAAGAUAAACUAUUACAAGAGAUUUGCAGAAAUCGAUGCAAAUAAAAUCACUAUAGAUUUCUACGUUAUGUAAAACGCGUUGAUUGUGUUGUUUUAAAAAUUGUAAAGCAA
This is a long non-coding RNA of Melanaphis sacchari, 563 nucleotides long. RefSeq lists it as uncharacterized. The record is from RefSeq and is a predicted model, not a curated record. Lineage: Eukaryota; Metazoa; Arthropoda; Insecta; Hemiptera; Aphididae. The transcript is spliced from 3 exons.